UGAGCCGAAAUCAAGAGUCAGAGGCUCAACCAACUAAGCCACCCAGGAGCCCCACAAGGAUUCUUCAAGUGGUGUAAGAUCUAGGGGCACAGAGGGCCACUCACUGCAGGAGAAGACUCUCCCUGUAGAGACCGACUUUGACACCACAGCACAUGGCCAAUGAAAAUGAAGGAGAAACUGGGGUGACACAAUUCUCAUCCACUACUUACUCUCUUCGCUGUGGAGACGACCGGAAAUGAGCUUGAGCACAGCUUCUUCAUUGGAGUCCAGGCGCCUAGAGCACAGGAGUCAACCUCCAGCCACAGGGACUAUCUAGGCUGCCCUGGGGUCACCAGGGAUAGCAGAAGAGACGAGCCGAGCCGCAGGAGCACAGGAAGCCGGGAGGCCGCCGUGGGAAGCAAGAGGAAGGUGGGAGGGGGGGCGGACACAAUGUGGCUGCUCUGGUCCCUCACUGGCUCACGUACUCACCUGGCACCUGACACCGCAUGCUGCCAGCAAAGUGGAUCCUUCAUCGAAUGAUGCAAGGACUAUGAACUUAUCUGCUUUACGCCCUAAGGACAUCUAAGCGUGGUGCCUUGUUCCUACAAAUUGCUCUGUGAUUAUAUAAUGAUGGACCAAGAGUGACACAGCAGGGAACCUUUCCAUCUUCAGAGGAAAAAUGCUCUUACACACACUGUCCCAGGGAAACCACCUUCUCUUCCAGAAGGCAAGCGUCUCUGGCUAUUUGGAACUGCCUGUUGACCCCCAUUCCUCUUCAGCCCAUUAGUCAGAGGUAGAGCUGCUCCUGGAUAACACCCUUACACACCCUUACACACCCUUACAUGCCCUUACACACACACACACACACACACACACACACACACACACUUAAUCUGUUAACUUUUGGAACUUUGCCCAGAAGCCUCCAGAAGCCCAGACCCAAUCCUGGGUUCCCAGGUCCAAAAUUUUGUAGCAAGAAAAAGCAUUCUCAUCUGAAACUUUUAAUAGCAUAUAAAUAAAGUGAUCCAGGCUCCAAAUGGCCCAGGCAAGGCCACCCCAUAUAGGGCCGUGAAUAUCACAAUAGGUGAUUGUUUUAAAGUGUUUUAAUGAGUCUCAAAACAUCCUACAUAAUAUCAGCCUCCACUCCAGUCCUCCUGACAGGCUCCAGUAAAUAACAUGAGUUGACAGGAAUAAAACAGCUUGCUCAGGAGUAAUUGAGUGGAAUUAGAAUGAACAGACAAGAAAGAAAAAUUGGUGCUUGGGUCACAAGGAACUUUUUGUUGGGAACGCCCUGGGGGAUUUGGUGGGAUGUGGCCCCGCUGACUAAUCACCAGUAUAGAAAGUUUACAGUCUCUCCACCAUGCCAGCGUCUUUAAUAACUUGAAAAGCACAAGAGGUGGCUGUUAAUUUCAAAGACAGUUAUAUGAAGCUUUUAUUGAGUGUGGCGCAGAGUAUAUAGUUAGCAGCCUGUGAGAUAAUGAACCCUUUAAAUAGGGUUUUCAAAAACAAAACCAUCUUAUUUUUGCUUGAGCCAAAAGAACAGCAACGUUCUCCUGUUAUUUGAAAGCCGAAAAAAUGUAUAUAAAGUAGGAUCUCUCCAUUGCACACGAGAAGAGCCGCUUUCUUCACCAAGGGCAUGUGCCAUGCCAUAGAACCAUGGACACUUAGAUGGACUCAGCUGACCUUGCCAGGACAUGCCUUUGCCGGGAAGCAAGCAGAUAGGGGAGGAAGGGGUUAAAUGUGAUGGCUGCCACCCUCAUGAACAUUGGCUCCCGGGCCUUCUCUCCCUGACCUGGGCUGACAAUACUGGGAAGAGGUGGGGCCCCCUCUGGCCCCCCAAUGUCAUGAAGUGAGUAAACCAGAGAUCAAA
Long non-coding RNA from Lynx canadensis (Canada lynx), 1849 nucleotides. RefSeq lists it as uncharacterized. NCBI's taxonomy places the organism in Eukaryota, Metazoa, Chordata, Mammalia, Carnivora, Felidae. The record is from RefSeq and is a predicted model, not a curated record. The transcript has 2 exons.